UACGGAGGAUGCAAGCGUUAUCCGGAAUGAUUGGGCGUAAAGCGUCCGCAGGUGGCUAUGUAAGUCUGCUGUUAAAGAGUGAGGCUCAACCUCAUAAAAGCAGUGGAAACUACAUGGCUAGAGUGCGUUCGGGGCAGAGGGAAUUCCUGGUGUAGCGGUGAAAUGCGUAGAUAUCUGGAGGAAUACCGGUGGCGAAGGCGGCAUCCUGGACCGACAUUGACGCUGAUGAGCGAAAGCUAGGGGAGCAAACGGG
RNAcentral lists this ribosomal RNA (253 nucleotides) under uncultured bacterium. RNAcentral describes it as "partial 16S ribosomal RNA". It matches the Rfam family "Bacterial small subunit ribosomal RNA", at positions 524 to 776 of the family's 1533-position model. The record is from RNAcentral.